UUAAGUUCAGCGGGUAGUCCUACCUGAUUUGAGGUCAAAGGGUCAAUAGAAGGCUUCCGCCUUGCCCGAAGGCCAUUAGAAGCAGACCCGUUAGGCAAGCGCACGGCGAAUCGAAUUAACUAUCACACCGAUCACGCGAACCAAAGUCCAGCUAAUGCAUUUCAGAGGAGCCGACGACCGCCGGGGGCCAGCAAAAACCU
This 200-nucleotide unclassified non-coding RNA is filed under the name Phellinopsis sp. Its description in RNAcentral is "partial internal transcribed spacer 2". The record is from RNAcentral. Lineage: Eukaryota; Fungi; Basidiomycota; Agaricomycetes; Hymenochaetales; Hymenochaetaceae.